CCUACGGGUGGCAGCAGUGAGGAAUCUUGGGCAAUGGGCGCGAGCCUGAACCAGCCAAGUAGCGUGAAGGAUGACUGCCCUACGGGUUGUAAACUUCUUUUAUAAAGGAAUAAAGUGAGGCAAGUGUGCCUUUUUGUAUGGACUUUAUGAAAAAGGAACGGCUAACUCUGUGCCAGCAGCCGCGGUAAUACGGAGGAGGCGAGCGUUAUCCGGUUUGAUUGGGUUUAAAGGGAGCGUAGAUGGGUUGUUAAGUCGGUUGUGAAAGGUUGCGGCUCAACCGUAAAAUGGCAAUUGAUACUGGCAGCCUUGAGUACAGAUGAGGUAGGCGGAAUUCGUGGUGUAGCGGUGAAAUGCUUAGAUAUCACGAAGAACUCCGAUUGCGAAGGCAGCUUACUAAACUGCCACUGACACUGAUGCUCGAAAGUGUGGGUAUCAAACAGGAUUAGAUACCCCAGUAGUC
RNAcentral lists this ribosomal RNA (460 nucleotides) under uncultured bacterium. RNAcentral describes it as "partial 16S ribosomal RNA". It matches the Rfam family "Bacterial small subunit ribosomal RNA", at positions 338 to 795 of the family's 1533-position model. The record is from RNAcentral.